Molecule: microRNA precursor, 64 nt
Filed under: Drosophila yakuba
Lineage: Eukaryota; Metazoa; Arthropoda; Insecta; Diptera; Drosophilidae
Description: Dya-Mir-76_pre stem-loop
Rfam family: mir-981 microRNA precursor family
Source: RNAcentral
CGGGUUUCGUUAGCAGCGGGCUGUUUUAAAAAAUUCAACAAGUUCGUUGUCGACGAAACCUGCA